AAUAGCAGGGCUUUGUUUGUUAUUUCCUGGAAAUGUUUGUAUCUUGAAUGCUUGUGUCUCAGAUAUAUUCAGCAAUUGACUUUGCUUUGUGCUUUCAAAAUUCAGGAGAUUAGCAUUAAGCUUUGGCAACGAUUUAUGCUGUUACCAAAGAUCUUUGGACAAACGUGGAAUUAAAAAAAAUGAACCUGAUGCUAAUGACAUUUGUAGGCCAAAUUCAACUAUGUCAUAAAUCACAGUAAAAGAUGCAUGCAGUGUUGAUCAGAGACAGAAUGAUGAGACAUACAUCCUUACAACAAGAGAUUUGGACCAGCUCUGUAAAUUAAACAGUACGCGAUGACAGCUUUGAGGCGAUUUCGCUGGGUGACAUGGAUGGAAACCAUCCUGACCAUGCAAUUGCAUCAGGUCACAUCUUGGCCUUCACAUUACACAUCCUUGGCAGUCACUUGUAUGACCUUGUCAGAUUUAAAAACAUAAUGUUAGAAAAGUCAUCCUUGGACAGGAGAAGAAAAAAUCUAAACAUGCAGAAAUGCAAGAAUACCAAAGUAAAAUUACAAUACAGCAGGAUCAGAGGAAGAGAGAUUUUCUUGUGUGAAUUUGUCCUUCAAACUGCUGAAAUCCCUGCACGAGUCCAACAUCAGAGUGUAAAAUU
RNAcentral lists this long non-coding RNA (649 nucleotides) under Cyanistes caeruleus (blue tit). Its description in RNAcentral is "lncRNA (ENSCCEG00000015984.1)". The record is from RNAcentral. Lineage: Eukaryota; Metazoa; Chordata; Aves; Passeriformes; Paridae.